Molecule: ribosomal RNA, 460 nt
Filed under: uncultured bacterium
Lineage: Bacteria
Description: bacterial SSU rRNA
Rfam family: Bacterial small subunit ribosomal RNA
Source: RNAcentral
UACGGAAGGCAGCAGUGGGGAAUAUUGCACAAUGGGCGAAAGCCUGAUGCAGCUAUGCCGCGUGUAUGAAGAAGGCCUUAGGGUUGUAAAGUACUUUCAUCGGGGAGGAAAAAACCAAAACUAAUAAUUUUAUUUCUUGACGUUACCCGAAAAAGAAGCACCGGCUAACUCCGUGCCAGCAGCCGCGGUAAUACGGAGGGUGCUAGCGUUAAUCAGAAUUACUGGGCGUAAAGAGCACGUAGGUGGUUUUUUUAAAGUUCAGAUGUGAAAUCCCUGGGCUUAACCUAGGAACUGCAUUUUGAAACUGAAAUACUAGAGUAUCGUAGAGGGAGGUAGAAUUCUAGGUGUAGCGGUGAAAUGCGUAGAUAUCUGGAGGAAUACCUGUGGCGAAAGCGGCCUCCUAAACGAAUACUGACACUGAGGUGCGAAAGCGUGGGGAGCAAAACAGGGAUUAGAUACC